AGUGGGGGAGGAAGAAGAGGAGGAGGAGGAGUUGGAAGGGGAGGAGGAAGAGGGGGAGCAGGAAGAGGGGCAGAAGGAAGAAGAAGAGGGGGAGGAGAAAGAGAAAGAAGAGUAAGAGGAGGGGGAAGAAAGACAAGGGGAAGGGGAGGAGGAGGAGGACGGGGAGGAGCUUCGCCGCGGCCUGCUCCGCCCAGCCGGGGUCGGUGGCCGCAUGGCUUCGGUCUCCUCUGCGACCUUCUCGGGCCACGGGGCUCGGUCCCUACUGCAAUUCCUGCGGCUGGUAGGGCAGCUCAAGAGAGUCCCACGGACUGGCUGGGUAUACAGAAAUGUCCAGAGGCCGGAGAGCGUUUCAGAUCACAUGUACCGGAUGGCAGUUAUGGCUAUGGUGAUCAAAGAUGACCGUCUUAACAAAGACCGACAGUCUCACUCUGUCGCCCAGGCUGGAGUGCAGUGGUGCAGUGUCAGCCAACUACAACCUCCACCUCCCAGAUUCAAAGGAUUCUCCUGCCUGAGCCUCCUGAGUAGCUGGGAUUACAGAUGUGUACGCCUAGCCCUGGUUCAUGAUAUGGCAGAAUGCAUCGUUGGGGACAUAGCACCAGCAGAUAACAUCCCCAAAGAAGAAAAACAUAGGCGAGAAGAGGAAGCUAUGAAGCAGAUAACCCAGCUCCUACCAGAGGACCUCAGAAAGGAGCUCUAUGAACUUUGGGAAGUAAGUAUAUAUGGAGUACGAGACCCAAUCUAGUGCAGAAGCCAAAUUUGUGAAGCAGCUAGACCAAUGUGAGAUGAUUCUUCAAGCAUCUGAAUAUGAAGACCUUGAACACAAACCUGGGAGACUGCAAGACUUCUAUGAUUCCACAGCAGGAAAAUUCAAUCACCCUGAGAUAGUCCAGCUUGUUUCUGAACUUGAGGCAGAAAGAAACGCUAACAUAGCUGCAGCUGCCAGUGAGCCACACUCCUGAGACACUCUCUAAAUUGCUGCACUCCUGUAACAAACAUUAUUUUUCCAUUUCAUUGUAUUGUGUUUUGCCAUUGUUGGUCUGUUGAUUUCCCUAGAUGUGAGUCUGUUUGUUUUCAAUUGUCUGGACUUCAGCAAGAAAUGUGAUACAACUUGGGCACUAAAAGAAGCCACAGAACAGGAAGCGGUCAUGAAAGUGCCAUGGAUGAAGACUGGAGGUGGCAGUGCCUGUUUAUGAACUAAAUAAAUAAAUAUUAAACGCCUAAAA
Molecule: RNA transcript, 1223 nt
Organism: Pan troglodytes (chimpanzee)
Lineage: Eukaryota; Metazoa; Chordata; Mammalia; Primates; Hominidae
Gene: HDDC2
Gene name: HD domain containing 2
Exons: 7
Source: RefSeq, a predicted model, not a curated record